GCAUUGGUGGUUCAGUGGUAGAUUUGUCGCAUGUCAUGUGGGAGACCUGGGUUUGAUUCUCAGCCAAUGCA
Molecule: transfer RNA, 71 nt
Filed under: Loxodonta africana (African savanna elephant)
Lineage: Eukaryota; Metazoa; Chordata; Mammalia; Proboscidea; Elephantidae
Rfam family: tRNA
About the family: Transfer RNA (tRNA) molecules are approximately 80 nucleotides in length.
Source: Rfam by way of RNAcentral